ACGGGAGGCAGCAGUGAGGAAUAUUGGUCAAUGGAGGGAACUCUGAACCAGCCAUGCCGCGUGAAGGAAGACGGCCUUAUGGGUUGUAAACUUCUUUUGUAGAGGGACAAUAAGUCGUACGUGUACGAUGAUGAGUGUACUUUACGAAUAAGCAUCGGCUAACUCCGUGCCAGCAGCCGCGGUAAUACGGAGGAUGCGAGCGUUAUCCGGAUUUAUUGGGUUUAAAGGGUGCGUAGGCUGGCGAUUAAGUCAGGGGUGAAAUACCGUCGCUUAACGAUGGAACUGCCUUUGAUACUGAUUGUCUUGAGUGUAUAUGAGGUAAGCGGAAUGUGCAGUGUAGCGGUGAAAUGCUUAGAUAUUGCACAGAACACCGAUUGCGAAGGCAGCUUACUAAUAUAUAACUGACGCUGAGGCACGAAAGUGUGGGGAUCAAACAGGAUUAGAUACCCUGGUA
RNAcentral lists this ribosomal RNA (454 nucleotides) under uncultured bacterium. RNAcentral's name for it is "partial 16S ribosomal RNA". It matches the Rfam family "Bacterial small subunit ribosomal RNA", at positions 341 to 792 of the family's 1533-position model. The record is from RNAcentral.